AAUCAGUCCAAGAAGGGCCCGAAUUCUCCUCCAAGCUGGUGUCUCUGCAGUCAUGACCCCCCAGAGUAGAAGGUGCUGCGGCGGGGGAUGCCACCUGAGUUUUCAGGUAAGUAGUCUGUGCCUUCUGGCGAAGGUGCACACUCCUCACACUCCCAUUUCUUACUGUUGGAUCUAAGAAAGGAGCAGUCCCUAUGGGUUCCACGGGAUCCGCAUGUGGCACAUAGAACGAGGCUCCACCUCCUACAGGAAGACAAGGAAGGGUUGUGGGCACAAAUAUAACACUAUCUACCGCUUCGGGAUGUCACUACAGGGCAGCCUUUGCUGAGGGCUCCCCAGGCAUCUUUUGUCAUACAUUUUACCCAGGAUGAAUGUGUGGCUGUGUGCUGAUCUCAGGACCUUGCAGUUAGGCACAGACACUCAAAAGGCGGGUUUGGAAAGAAUUGGCCCUGAGUAUCUCUCCACUGGGCUCAGGGAGAAGCAGACCUGCAGAGGGACCUGUUCACCUGCACAUGAAUGAGUCCCGGGAUGUGAUGUGUUUGCCCUGAGGACUGUAGACAAAAGCGAAUUCUUUGCUCUUAAUAACUGUGCCAAGGUCUAACUCUAAGUUGGCACUGAGGAGAAAACUUUCUAGCCAGAAGCCUUUCCCUACCCUUCGUCCUCAAAGUUGUCUCUGCCUUGUUCAUACAGACAGAUGGGGGCAUCACAAUGCUGAUAGCGCUGAUACAACUCUGAGAAAGCCCCUGGUUCGAGUUCCCAGGCGGCAUCUCUGCAGUGGGAGAAGAACAGUAAGGGACACAUCAUUGGUUGGUGAAACCACUCUCCUCCUGGGAAGAACUAGCAAGAAGUCAAACUAGCACAGCAAAGGAGUUCAACAGGCUGCCUGAAUGAUUUCAGCAAGGUUGGGAAGGUGGCCUGACAGUGGGAGAGGGUUGAAGCCAAAUGAAUGGAACAUGGGGUUCCUUAGUUUCACACGAGAACUGGAGAACCUACCCCUCACCCAGGGAGUUCUGAUCCCCAAAGCACCCUUGUCAGAAACAUACCUAUCCCCAACGCUCAAUCCUCUUUUCUUUAGAUAUUUGAAAAGCUCUCCCUCUACCCAUUUCCUCUUCACCAUAUAACAAUGCCUUGGCUGCUUCUUCAUUCUCUAAACUAUCCUCACGCUCACCUCCUCUCUAGAAAUCUAGGCAACCCAUUCCCUGGCUCAAUUCCUGCUUUAGAGUUUCCACUACCUGUCUGGAAUGUGAAUUCCCAUUCUUAGCAUUUCUUGAGGAAACUCUUCUCUAUUGUUGCAUUGUGGACAUUUGAAGAAAUGCUUUGCCGAUGUGUGGGCAUAUUUCUGUAAGAGAAACAUGGAAAAACUUUGUGUUUGUAAAGACUCUAUCUUUGAUCACCUCAUUUCCACCUCCACCCUCAUCUCACAAAGAGGACGUUGCUAAGAAAGCUUGCCUGGGGCUUACAGGAAAAGGACUUUGGGUGUGUUAGGGCGAGGGCUGCAUAUUCCUGUGCCAGACCAGGGACCAAAAGCUUAAGAAAGUUCCCAGGAGUGCCUCAGCUGUCAUCUCUGGCUAUAAGGCUUAGCAGUGCUAACCCAGAAGGGCUCGGGGACCUGAAUACGUUUCUCUUUCCUUCCAUGCGAGGAAGCAAGACUGGUUUGGAGGCCACUUGACUCAUUCUACGAUGAGCUCAUUUGCUCUAGCCAUCCUGAGGAUUUUUUACUCAGUCUAAAUCUUAUCAUCAUGAGGGAGGUCCUACAGGUCAAGGGUGACCAAAGACUGGGCUGACUUUCCUCUGACUUCCUGGAACCAGCCCUGCAUGCAGGCCUCCUGUUGAGAUUGCCUGAGCAUUCCCAGGGGGCUCUGAACUAGGACAAUUGUGGAAGUCCCCUGGGCAGAGAGAGCCCCACCUGUAUGCACUUUCGGUGGUAGAGAGUUUGACUACAGCAUGGACUCUGGAUGUUUUCAACACUUGCUUGGGACAAGUCUUCACAACAUAAGACGCAGCUUUCCUCUCCCACAUUCCCCCGUUGGAUGUCCUGUGUUGGGCGAUGUUUUUCACAGAAUGAUCUGUGGCAGAGUAAAUAAACUUGGUUUUCAUUUAUCUU
Pipistrellus kuhlii (Kuhl's pipistrelle) is the source of this 2101-nucleotide long non-coding RNA. RefSeq lists it as uncharacterized. NCBI's taxonomy places the organism in Eukaryota, Metazoa, Chordata, Mammalia, Chiroptera, Vespertilionidae. The transcript is spliced from 2 exons. The record is from RefSeq and is a predicted model, not a curated record.